GUCAGUGUCAAGAACUCUUGAAGACCGAUCCCUAUUGCUGUUAUUCUCCAGACAAAAUUCCAUUUUCACGAGACCCAUAGUUUUUUCCUGAAUUUCUGGCAUUUGAUUGUACUUGAAACAGGUUGUAAUCUCAAUUGGGGGGCUCCAGAUUUUUUUCCUUCUGAUUGAGUUGAUGGACGGUGGGCUCAAGACUGCAAAGGGACUGGAUUUCUUCUGCAACAGGGAGGAAAAUGGCCACCCGUGAAAGACAACUGCUGAGGGGAAAAUUGUGUUUUGUUGAUCUCCUGAUCAGAAAAGCAAUCCAUAUGGUGGUUAAAGGUUUGUCCAAGACGAGGAUUCUCAAAUAUUACAUUCUAAGCACCUGCUUGAAAUAAUGAACGUUCAAGAAAUGGACUAUGGAGAGGACAGUCUGCCUCUUAUUGAAGUAUUUCCUAAAAUUCCAGUCCAACUAAUGCACUUUUUGGACAACUUUGUAUAGAUCAAAUAAAGGAAGAACGAAAUAAGGAGGCUACUUUUCUUAUUUCAGCCUUCAAGGUAUGUGCAGGAGUUAUCGUUUCAGUGUUUUUGUUCUCUCUUUGCUUUCUUUUUUUUUUUCAAAUUUAUUUAGCAGUUUAUUCUUUGCACUACUAUUGAUGGAUUUUGGGUAAGUCAUUGGAGGCUGUUUAUGGAUUUCAAGGUGAAGAAGUGGAUAAAGAAUCUAAACUGACACCUUAUGGUGAAAAAAUUAGUCGAGGUAUGUGGUGAUGGAAAUAUCACAAUUAGCCUGGCAUUAUUGUCUUUGAGCUACUGGAAGAUGAUCAAUGUGGUUCUUUACAAACUAAAAUUGAAGGAUAUAGCAGUCCAGAUGCCCAGUCAAACCCUUUACAAGACCCUCGAAUUGGCUUUAGAUUCGGAACGCAAGUCAUGGUUUUCUUUUGAAUUGAUGUAGUUCAGAAUUUGAGUUAAAUAGGAAAAGUGAGAAAUUUGAUGAACUGCUUGAGUUGGCUGGCUACUACAAGACUUUUCUCAUGAAUUCUUAUCAAGAAGCAAGGAUAAAAACAUGGCAGUAGGAGAUUAUUCGAAUAAGCUCUGGGAAGAGAGACAAAUAAACUCUUGAACGAUAUUCGGCAUUGUAAAGAGAUUGAGAAAUGCAAACUUGAACCAUAGUAAACACUUAGUAUCCAAUUAUGCAUACAACUUGUAAUAAUUUAUAGAAGUUUUUUCUUAACUGUAUUCUUUAUUAAUAUACUUGGCCUUGACUCAACAUA
Long non-coding RNA from Coffea arabica (coffee), 1247 nucleotides. RefSeq lists it as uncharacterized. The record is from RefSeq and is a predicted model, not a curated record. NCBI's taxonomy places the organism in Eukaryota, Viridiplantae, Streptophyta, Magnoliopsida, Gentianales, Rubiaceae.